AAUUUUUCUCACAAGAUGGAAAGUAGAGAUAUGAAUAGCCUUUUUUUAUGAUUAAGUUUAUACUAUAGAUUAAUAAAAUAUAAUCCUAUAAUAGGGAGAAGAAUACUUUAAAGCAAUAAAGUAUAAACAUGCCUGUUAUCAACAUAUGAGGGGUGCAGAGCAGAAGUGGUGUAAGUCCAAAAUUAUGAUUUUGAGAUAAUUGCAUUUUUGUAACAGCGAUUAAAAAAAAAUAUAUGCAACAUGUACAGGAACUUUAUUGGAAUAGUGGCAUACAUAAAUAAUUGGCACAUCUAUUAAAUAUGUGAUAACUGAAUGUAAAGGUUUACAUUAGCCAUAACAUAGAUAACAAUAAAAGAAAAUGGUUUUGCACUGAAUAUGUUCACUAAUAUUCAGACCAGACUUGAGGUCAAUGAAAAAAAAUAAAAUGUAAGUGACUACAAGAAGCUAUAUAUCAUACAUUGGUUUGUCUACAUUUUCGUUUUCUUCGGUGAUGAUCAUGGCAUGCUUUUUUUGCUGCAAUCUAGUAUUACCUAUGAUAGGCAAAUAUUUGAAGAAAGCAUGUCGGCUUGGAGAUAUAAAAUGCAACAAAUCAAUCAUAUCCUUCUUCUUUUGUUCUGAUACUGGUCUUCUUGUUGUAUAUAAUUUCCCUUGUUCAAUGUCUGCAAGAGAACUUAAUGGACGACCAAGCCCUUUCUGUAGAUUUACUGAAUAAAAAUUCAUGUCAUUGUUUUGUGUUUCUUUAAAUUUAAUAGUAAAUGAUGCGCCCCUCUGAAAACGCAUCCACUUCAUAUUUAGCCAGUUUACAUGUCUCCCAUCAAUAGUAUAUUUUCGUUUUGUCACACAAUUCUCAAGUGACGCAGUGGACAAGAAAUCCUCAUGUUGCAUUACUAGAACUUGGAAUGGUUUCCUUUUAGCAGUUUUCACUAUAUCCACCCAAUCAUGAAAUGAAGUAAUUUCCCGUUGCAAAUGUGCUUUCUUUUCAAUUAACCCGAAAUCUGAGUCAUUUGGUAGGUAGGAAUGCCCAGGUUUAAGAAAUUUAUGAUCAAUAACUUCAGUUUUGUUGUGAGGGCUGUUGACGUACUUCAAAAAUGUUAAAGCCAUUUUUAUAUUUGUUUUGCCCUCCACAGCAGUCGGAAUAUAAAAUAAUUCUUUGAUGGUUCUUAGCGUACUCUUCAAGAUGUCUAACUAUACAUGUAGCUAAUUCUUGCGCACCCCUCCCUCCUUCAGUUUCAUCCCACAUAAACAUAUGACCAUUCUUUGUAUUGAAGGAGUGACAUCCAAAAUUAUAUACAUACAUAUUUCUCUUAUAGUAUGCUGUAGAUGUUGUUAGUUUUGGAAAAGGUAAUGCUUUUUCCAAAUCAAAAGUCAUCACAUAACAUGUCAUCAGCUGAAGUUUUAUCUUCUUUUAAACAUUCUCUUGCCUUUUCUGC
RNAcentral lists this long non-coding RNA (1430 nucleotides) under Androctonus crassicauda. Lineage: Eukaryota; Metazoa; Arthropoda; Arachnida; Scorpiones; Buthidae. The record is from RNAcentral.